CCUACGGGUGGCUGCAGUGGGGAAUAUUGGACAAUGGGCGAAAGCCUGAUCCAGCCAUGCCGCGUGUGUGAAGAAGGCCUUCGGGUUGUAAAGCACUUUCAGUGGGGAAGAAAGCCUUGGGGCUAAUACCCUCGAGGAAGGACAUCACCCACAGAAGAAGCACCGGCUAACUCCGUGCCAGCAGCCGCGGUAAUACGGAGGGUGCGAGCGUUAAUCGGAAUUACUGGGCGUAAAGCGCGCGUAGGCGGUCUGAUAAGCCGGUUGUGAAAGCCCCGGGCUCAACCUGGGAACGGCAUCCGGAACUGUCAGGCUAGAGUGCAGGAGAGGAAGGUAGAAUUCCCGGUGUAGCGGUGAAAUGCGUAGAGAUCGGGAGGAAUACCAGUGGCGAAGGCGGCCUUCUGGACUGAUACUGACGCUGAGGUGCGAAAGCGUGGGUAGCAAACAGGAUUAGAUACCCGGGUAGUC
Molecule: ribosomal RNA, 465 nt
Filed under: Vreelandella stevensii
Lineage: Bacteria; Pseudomonadati; Pseudomonadota; Gammaproteobacteria; Oceanospirillales; Halomonadaceae
Description: partial 16S ribosomal RNA
Rfam family: Bacterial small subunit ribosomal RNA
Source: RNAcentral